AGGAGCGUAGUGCCGUGAAAGUGGCACGCUACGUUUUGCAUGGGAGGCUAGAGAAGUGAUUCUUUGGUCGACCCCUAAC
Molecule: non-coding RNA, 79 nt
Filed under: Hyella patelloides LEGE 07179
Lineage: Bacteria; Bacillati; Cyanobacteriota; Cyanophyceae; Pleurocapsales; Pleurocapsaceae
Source: RNAcentral